UUUUUUGACUUGAAUAAAUGUUGAAAUGACAAUUAAAAUGGGCAGUAAAACAGAAAGAAGCAUGUUUUAUGAUGUAUCAUGUUGUUCUGUUUUGAAAAGUGUUCUAUGUGUGGGUAAGUAUAUAAACGAAUAAAAUUUCGAGAAGGUAUGUAGUAGACUUAUUUCUGUUGAUUGCGAUAAUCAUGUUUUAGUUAAGUGCGACUUAUAUAUGCGGGCUUUUGGCCGUUUUGGUUUGUAUCAUAGGUGCUGCAAGAGGUACUUUCAUAUUUGAUGAUCCACCAUCUCCUCAAUAUCCGGGUAGGCCAGAUAAAAAACCUAAAGGUAUAUCUACUCGACCAUGGACUCAUGGUUACGAUGACUGAAAAUAAAGAUGUGUUGAUACCAGUAUACGAGCAGAUCCUGAUGAAGAUUUUUAUGCUGAACGAAGAAUGUACCUACCUAAUACCGAAAAAAUUAUUCAAUUCAUAAUCAAAUCAUCUCUUGUAUAUUGGAAAAAUACAUUUAUUCAAUCACGAA
Planococcus citri (citrus mealybug) is the source of this 516-nucleotide long non-coding RNA. RefSeq lists it as uncharacterized. NCBI's taxonomy places the organism in Eukaryota, Metazoa, Arthropoda, Insecta, Hemiptera, Pseudococcidae. The transcript has 2 exons. The record is from RefSeq and is a predicted model, not a curated record.